RNAcentral lists this transfer RNA (77 nucleotides) under Parcubacteria group bacterium. Its description in RNAcentral is "tRNA-Val". It matches the Rfam family "tRNA". From Rfam's summary of the family: Transfer RNA (tRNA) molecules are approximately 80 nucleotides in length. Their secondary structure includes four short double-helical elements and three loops (D, anti-codon, and T loops). Further hydrogen bonds mediate the characteristic L-shaped molecular structure. tRNAs have two regions of fundamental functional importance: the anti-codon, which is responsible for specific mRNA codon recognition, and the 3' end, to which the tRNAs corresponding amino acid is attached (by aminoacyl-tRNA synthetases). tRNAs cope with the degeneracy of the genetic code in two manners: having more than one tRNA (with a specific anti-codon) for a particular amino acid; and 'wobble' base-pairing, i.e. permitting non-standard base-pairing at the 3rd anti-codon position. The record is from RNAcentral.
GGGUGAUUAGCUCAGUUGGUUAGAGCGCGUCGUUCACAUCGACGAGGCCGCUGGUUCAAAUCCAGCAUCACCCACCA